This 253-nucleotide ribosomal RNA is filed under the name uncultured bacterium. RNAcentral describes it as "partial 16S ribosomal RNA". It matches the Rfam family "Bacterial small subunit ribosomal RNA", at positions 524 to 776 of the family's 1533-position model. The record is from RNAcentral.
GACAGAGGGUGCAAACGUUGUUCGGAAUUACUGGGCGUAAAGCGCGCGUAGGCGGCUACUUAAGUCGGAUGUGAAAGCCCUUGGCUCAACUGAGGAAGUGCACCCGAAACUGAGUGGCUAGAGUACGAAAGAGGGUCGCGGAAUUCCCGGUGUAGAGGUGAAAUUCGUAGAUAUCGGGAGGAACACCGGUGGCGAAGGCGGCGACCUGGGUCGAUACUGACGCUGAUGCGCGAAAGCUAGGGGAGCAAACAGG